AUGUGUAUUCUGCUGUUGUUGGAUGAAGUAGUCUAUAGAUGUCAGUUAUAUCCAGUCCAUUGAUGGUGGUGUUGAGUUUGACUAUGCCCUUAUUGAUUUUCUGCCUGCUGGAUCUGUUCACUUCUGAUAGAGGGAUGUUAAAGUCUCUAACUACAGGGGCUUCAUCUCAUUUC
This is a non-coding RNA of Ceratotherium simum simum (southern white rhinoceros), 173 nucleotides long. Lineage: Eukaryota; Metazoa; Chordata; Mammalia; Perissodactyla; Rhinocerotidae. The record is from RefSeq and is a predicted model, not a curated record.